AAUUGCUUCCUAUUCUAGGCAGUUGUUUUAAAUUAAACUUUUAUUUUGUGUCUCCCCCCUUCAGCAUCCUGUCCAAGACAAAGCUACCUUUCCUCGUGGGAAUGGACUGGCCGGGCUUUGGCAAUCUGGCCCCUCGAAAGUCUUAAGUGACCUCUUCCAGCAGGGGAAGACUGAAGCAAGGGGUGCCAGAAAGAACUGGAGUUUCUGGAGAAUAAAAGCUGGAAGCGUGCCCCCGAAAAUCCCCCCGGGUGGUCAGUGGUCUGACUUGCAGGGACCGGUGGCCUUGGCCAGGAGCGGUCCUGUGGGAAGCGCCUUUGCCCAGGCUGUAAUUUUAAUUUCCAUUGGCUGCUUGGCAAAGCCCCCCUGAGUGAGCCCCAGUGCCUGGCAUGAGCGGAGCGGGCUUCCAGGGAGGUAUUCACCUGGUCAGCGUCAGGAACCAUCCUAACUGAGGCCUCGGUGAGUGCUUUUUGUAUGACUGGACAGUGAAGCUGUGUGAAUGACCUGGCUAGUGCUCGGUGUACUCCUAAUUAAAGUGUCUUUUACUCCGUGUUCCCAGGCUGCCUCUUUCCCUUCGGUUGCCGUGGAUGUGCCGGACACCUCUGGCAGGACUAACCCUGUGGCUUUUAUGUCCAACGUGCUGUGCUGUGUGCCUGCAGAAUUGCCACGAGAGGAAAUACUUCAGAGGGGCUCCCCUCCGGAUAAGCCCUGAAUAUGCCAGGAGGUUUCAGCCGGGAGGAAAGGAGCUGUGGAAGAAAAGCAGCCUGAAAAUAGCCAGCGGGGAUCAUCAGGUUUUCCAGGCAAGAAGAACAAGGAGAGAGAUGAGGGAAUCGGGUUCCAAUUCCUAAUGAUUUGGUGGGUGCAGGAAUGAUUUCUGUGUGUUUUCCAGUCCCUUUUGAUUCCUGAGAUGAUUUUAAAAUGAUGGCUUUAGCAAUCAACUAAAUCGGAGACGUUGUUUUUGAGAGGAAAUGAUGCCAAAUAAAUGCAGAGUUUUGGGUCAGUUUUUGGGAUGAUUUGGGUCAUUUUUUGGGGUCAGUUUGGGGUCACUGUUUGGGGUGAUUUGGGUCAGUUUUGGGUCAGCUUUUGGGAUGAUUGGGGUCAGUUUUGGGUCAGCUUUUGGGAUGAUUUGGGUCGGUUUGGGGUCAAUUUUUGGGGAGCACUGGGUGCUACUGGAGGUUGUUGGGGAGCACUGGGAGAGAAGAUGAAAAAUAAAGAGAAUAAAAAAUAAACGAAAUAAAAAAAGGAAAUAUAAAAAACAAAAGAAAAUUAAAAAAAAGGCAAAAAACCUAAAAAGGAAAUAAAA
Pseudopipra pipra is the source of this 1300-nucleotide long non-coding RNA. RefSeq lists it as uncharacterized. The record is from RefSeq and is a predicted model, not a curated record. NCBI's taxonomy places the organism in Eukaryota, Metazoa, Chordata, Aves, Passeriformes, Pipridae. The transcript is spliced from 3 exons.